Molecule: transfer RNA, 74 nt
Filed under: Candidatus Giovannonibacteria bacterium RIFCSPHIGHO2_02_FULL_43_32
Lineage: Bacteria; Candidatus Giovannoniibacteriota
Also listed under: 3 other names
Description: tRNA-Ala
Rfam family: tRNA
About the family: Transfer RNA (tRNA) molecules are approximately 80 nucleotides in length. Their secondary structure includes four short double-helical elements and three loops (D, anti-codon, and T loops).
Source: RNAcentral
GGGCCUAUAGUUCAGUGGCAGAACGGAUCCAUGGCAUGGAUCAGGCGGGGUUUCGAUUACCCCUAGGUCCACUA